This 438-nucleotide long non-coding RNA is filed under the name Mytilus galloprovincialis (Mediterranean mussel). Lineage: Eukaryota; Metazoa; Mollusca; Bivalvia; Mytilida; Mytilidae. The record is from RNAcentral.
CCUGGGAAGUACACUGCAUAAUUUGGAGAAAUUAUGAAAAAAAAAUUAUGAAGUAGACACAUGGACAUACUUUUUAAGAGGGAGUUAACAGAAUCAUCAACUUCAUGUAUCAAACUUUGAAUCUCUUGUGUCUGGUGUGGUUUUUCAUUUUCCGAUUUCGUCGUUUUUUCUAAGGAAACAUUUGUUGUUGUUCGUCCGACGGACCCCACACUGUGGUUUGUUUCAUUGACAUUAGUGCUGUUUUGGUGUUUGACAUCCGUCUCGUCUUCACUGUCAUUGUCACUAGAAGUAUAGUAUGCGACGAGAGACAUUUAAAACCCAAAAUGAAGGUACUUUAAAUUUGAAUUACAAUCUCUUUAGAAAUAUUUCCAAAGCGAAGAAGAUUGAGAGAGACAAUUUUUUUGACGGAAGUAAACCACACAUAGUAAUAUUAAAAUC